Long non-coding RNA from Anthonomus grandis grandis, 814 nucleotides. RefSeq lists it as uncharacterized. NCBI's taxonomy places the organism in Eukaryota, Metazoa, Arthropoda, Insecta, Coleoptera, Curculionidae. The transcript is spliced from 3 exons. The record is from RefSeq and is a predicted model, not a curated record.
UUGGACUCAGAAAAAUGACUUGAAUUUUUAGGCAUAUUAUCGAGUGUCAAAGAAAGCGAAAAAAAAUGGCCUCGAAACUUGUGAAUCCCUGGGAAAUAUAUAAUUGGCUGGAAAAAUAUAAAUUGAAAUUUCUAAAAGUAUAAAAAAUAACCUGGAAAAAUGUUAGGCAAGCAUAGGUUCAUUUCAUGAAUUUUCAGACAUCAUUUGUAUUGUCUUAGAGACAAACCAAGGGCUUCACAUCAGUGUAAUAUCAUAUAUCAUAAUUCAAGUGGCUAAAAAUUACGUCAAAGCUGGAAAAUUAACAUCAAUAGAGGCAUGGAAAAUGAUUUCAAACGUUUCGAAAAUAUAGGAGAAAUACCUGAACGUGCGCAAAAUUAAAGUGACAAAAAUUAUACUUUUCUUCCUGGGAAAGAAAAAACAUUAAUAUAAAUAACGAAUUUAAAAACCGAAUUUCUAUGUGACCCCAAUAACGGCGAGAACCUGAGUAAUACGUUUUCAUCCUUGAUCUACAAAUCGGCACCUACGGAUCCGGUUCAAGAAGUUCAAAAAUACAAAAACAUAAUUUUUGAUUCAUUGAAUUUCUUUGCAAAUAUGAUGCAUAUCUUUUCGUUGGUUUCUUAUUGUAGAUCCGAACUGGUUGCACCCAUAUCUGCAAAAUUAUCAAGUUAUCAUGGGUUUGCAGUUCGUACGAUUGUCGAAGUAUCGUAAUCCCCAUCCCCACCCAUUUAAACUGAUCGUACCUGCAUGAACUAUUUGGGAUUUUAUUAAAUUAAUCAAAUAUAUAGCACAAUGGCCUGACAUUUUAAAAUUAUUA